Molecule: ribosomal RNA, 1436 nt
Filed under: uncultured organism
Description: 16S ribosomal RNA
Rfam family: Bacterial small subunit ribosomal RNA
Source: RNAcentral
CAGGCUUAACACAUGCAAGUCGAGGGGCAGCAUGGUCUUAGCUUGCUAAGGCCGAUGGCGACCGGCGCACGGGUGAGUAACGCGUAUCCAACCUGCCUUACACUCUUGGACAGCCUUCUGAAAGGGAGAUUAAUACAAGAUGUUAUCAUGAGUAAGCAUUUUCGCAUGAUUAAAGGUUUACCGGUGUAAGAUGGGGAUGCGUUCCAUUAGAUAGUAGGCGGGGUAACGGCCCACCUAGUCUUCGAUGGAUAGGGGUUCUGAGAGGAAGGCCCCCCACAUUGGAACUGAGACACGGUCCAAACUCCUACGGGAGGCAGCAGUGAGGAAUAUUGGUCAAUGGACGAGAGUCUGAACCAGCCAAGUAGCGUGAAGGAUGAAGGUUCUAUGGAUUGUAAACUUCUUUUAUACGGGAAUAAACGGAUCCACGUGUGGAUUUUUGCAUGUACCGUAUGAAUAAGGAUCGGCUAACUCCGUGCCAGCAGCCGCGGUAAUACGGAGGAUCCGAGCGUUAUCCGGAUUUAUUGGGUUUAAAGGGAGCGUAGAUGGGUUGUUAAGUCAGUUGUGAAAGUUUGCGGCUCAACCGUAAAAUUGCAAUUGAUACUGGCAGUCUUGAGUACAGUUGAGGUAGGCGGAAUUCGUGGUGUAGCGGUGAAAUGCUUAGAUAUCACGAAGAACUCCGAUUGCGAAGGCAGCUUACUAACCUGUAACUGACAUUGAUGCUCGAAAGUGUGGGUAUCAAACAGGAUUAGAUACCCUGGUAGUCCACACGGUAAACGAUGAAUACUCGCUGUAGGCGAUAUACAGUCUGCGGCCAAGCGAAAGCAUUAAGUAUUCCACCUGGGGAGUACGCCGGCAACGGUGAAACUCAAAGGAAUUGACGGGGGCCCGCACAAGCGGAGGAACAUGUGGUUUAAUUCGAUGAUACGCGAGGAACCUUACCCGGGCUUAAAUUGCAACCGAAUAUGGCGGAAACGCUAUAGCUAGCAAUAGCGGUUGUGAAGGUGCUGCAUGGUUGUCGUCAGCUCGUGCCGUGAGGUGCCGGCUUAAGUGCCAUAACGAGCGCAACCCUUGCCGAUAGUUACUAACAGGUUAUGCUGAGGACUCUGUCGGGACUGCCAUCGUAAGAUGUGAGGAAGGUGGGGAUGACGUCAAAUCAGCACGGCCCUUACGUCCGGGGCUACACACGUGUUACAAUGGGGGGUACAGAGGGCUGCUACCACGCAAGUGGAUGCCAAUCCCAAAAACCUCUCUCAGUUCGGAUUGAAGUCUGCAACCCGACUUCAUGAAGCUGGAUUCGCUAGUAAUCGCGCAUCAGCCACGGCGCGGUGAAUACGUUCCCGGGCCUUGUACACACCGCCCGUCAAGCCAUGGGAGCCGGGGGUACCUGAAGUGCGUAACCGCAAGGAGCGCCCUAGGGUAAAACUGGUGACUGGGGC